This 1499-nucleotide ribosomal RNA is filed under the name metagenome. Its description in RNAcentral is "bacterial SSU rRNA". It matches the Rfam family "Bacterial small subunit ribosomal RNA". The record is from RNAcentral.
GAGUUUGAUCAUGGCUCAGAUUGAACGCUGGCGGCAGGCCUAACACAUGCAAGUCGAACGGUAACAGGAAGCAGCUUGCUGCUUCGCUGACGAGUGGCGGACGGGUGAGUAAUGUCUGGGAAGCUGCCUGAUGGAGGGGGAUAACUACUGGAAACGGUAGCUAAUACCGCAUAAUGUCGCAAGACCAAAGAGGGGGACCUUCGGGCCUCUUGCCAUCGGAUGUGCCCAGAUGGGAUUAGCUUGUUGGUGGGGUAACGGCUCACCAAGGCGACGAUCCCUAGCUGGUCUGAGAGGAUGACCAGCCACACUGGAACUGAGACACGGUCCAGACUCCUACGGGAGGCAGCAGUGGGGAAUAUUGCACAAUGGGCGCAAGCCUGAUGCAGCCAUGCCGCGUGUAUGAAGAAGGCCUUCGGGUUGUAAAGUACUUUCAGCGGGGAGGAAGGGAGUAAAGUUAAUACCUUUGCUCAUUGACGUUACCCGCAGAAGAAGCACCGGCUAACUCCGUGCCAGCAGCCGCGGUAAUACGGAGGGUGCAAGCGUUAAUCGGAAUUACUGGGCGUAAAGCGCACGCAGGCGGUUUGUUAAGUCAGAUGUGAAAUCCCCGGGCUCAACCUGGGAACUGCAUCUGAUACUGGCAAGCUUGAGUCUCGUAGAGGGGGGUAGAAUUCCAGGUGUAGCGGUGAAAUGCGUAGAGAUCUGGAGGAAUACCGGUGGCGAAGGCGGCCCCCUGGACGAAGACUGACGCUCAGGUGCGAAAGCGUGGGGAGCAAACAGGAUUAGAUACCCUGGUAGUCCACGCCGUAAACGAUGUCGACUUGGAGGUUGUGCCCUUGAGGCGUGGCUCCCGGAGCUAACGCGUUAAGUCGACCGCCUGGGGAGUACGGCCGCAAGGUUAAAACUCAAAUGAAUUGACGGGGGCCCGCACAAGCGGUGGAGCAUGUGGUUUAAUUCGAUGCAACGCGAAGAACCUUACCUGGUCUUGACAUCCACGGAAGUUUUCAGAAAUGAGAAUGUGCCUUCGGGAACCGUGAGACAGGUGCUGCAUGGCUGUCGUCAGCUCGUGUUGUGAAAUGUUGGGUUAAGUCCCGCAACGAGCGCAACCCUUAUCCUUUGUUGCCAGCGGUCCGGCCGGGAACUCAAAGGAGACUGCCAGUGAUAAACUGGAGGAAGGUGGGGAUGACGUCAAGUCAUCAUGGCCCUUACGACCAGGGCUACACACGUGCUACAAUGGCGCAUACAAAGAGAAGCGACCUCGCGAGAGCAAGCGGACCUCAUAAAGUGCGUCGUAGUCCGGAUUGGAGUCUGCAACUCGACUCCAUGAAGUCGGAAUCGCUAGUAAUCGUGGAUCAGAAUGCCACGGUGAAUACGUUCCCGGGCCUUGUACACACCGCCCGUCACACCAUGGGAGUGGGUUGCAAAAGAAGUAGGUAGCUUAACCUUCGGGAGGGCGCUUACCACUUUGUGAUUCGUGACUGGGGUGAAGUCGUAACAAGGUA